UACAGAGGUCUCAAGCGUUGUUCGGAUUCAUUGGGCGUAAAGGGUGCGUAGGUGGCGCUGUAAGUCGGGUGUGAAAUUUCGGAGCUUAACUCCGAAACUGCAUCCGAUACUGCGGUGCUUGAGGACUGGAGAGGAGACUGGAAUUCAUGGUGUAGCAGUGAAAUGCGUAGAGAUCAUGAGAAAGACCAGUGGCGAAGGCGGGUCUCUGGACAGUUCCUGACACUGAGGCACGAAGGCCAGGGGAGCAAACGGG
This 253-nucleotide ribosomal RNA is filed under the name uncultured bacterium. RNAcentral describes it as "partial 16S ribosomal RNA". It matches the Rfam family "Bacterial small subunit ribosomal RNA", at positions 524 to 776 of the family's 1533-position model. The record is from RNAcentral.